Molecule: ribosomal RNA, 252 nt
Filed under: uncultured bacterium
Lineage: Bacteria
Description: partial 16S ribosomal RNA
Rfam family: Bacterial small subunit ribosomal RNA
Source: RNAcentral
GACAGAGGUGCCAAGCGUUAGGCGGAAUCACUGGCUUAAAGCGUGUGUAGGCGGGCGAUCAAGUACCUUGUUAAAUCCCACGGCUCAACCGUGGAACUGCUGGGUAUACUGGUUGUCUUGAGCCAGCUAGGGGCGAGCGGAACAGACGGUGGAGCGGUGAAAUGCGUAGAUAUCGUCUGGAACGCCGAAGGUGAAAACAGCUCGCUGGGGCUGCGCUGACGCUGAGACACGAAAGCCAGGGGAGCGAACGGG